GACGAAGGAUGCAAGCGUUAUCCGGAUUCAUUGGGUUUAAAGGGAGCGUAGGUGGCCUGGUAAGUCAGUGGUGAAAUCUUCUCGCUUAACGAGAAAACUGCCAUUGAUACUGCUAGGCUUGAGUACAGAUGCCGUUGGCGGAAUAUGACAUGUAGUGGUGAAAUACAUAGAGAUGUCAUAGAACACCGAUUGCGAAGGCAGCUAACGAAACUGUAACUGACACUGAGGCUCGAAAGUGCGGGGAUCAAACAGG
Molecule: ribosomal RNA, 253 nt
Filed under: uncultured bacterium
Lineage: Bacteria
Description: partial 16S ribosomal RNA
Rfam family: Bacterial small subunit ribosomal RNA
Source: RNAcentral